UUUAAAGUCUAAUCUGCCCUAUGAAAUUUUUAAAUGGCUGCAGUAUUUUGACUGUACAAAGGUAGCAUAAUCAUUUGUUUCUUAAUUAGAAGCUAGAAUGAAGGAUUUGAUGAGAAAAUAACUGUCUCAAUUAUAAUUUUAUAAAUUUAUUUUUAAGUUAAAAAGCUUAAAUGAUUUAAAAAGACGAGAAGACCCUAUAGAGUUUUAUAAAUAUAAAAUAUUAAUAUAAUUAAGUUUUUAUAGUAUUAGUAAAUUAAGUUUAUUUAGUUGGGGUGAUUUAAAAAUUUAAAAAACUUUUUUAAUUUUAUAACAUAAAUUAAUGAAAUAUUGAUCCUAAUUUUUAGAUUAAAAGAUUAAAUUACCUUAGGGAUAACAGCGUAAUUUUUUUUGAAAGUUCUUAUUGAAAAAAGAGAUUGCGACCUCGAUGUUGGAUUAAAAUUUAAUAUAGGUGUAGAAGCUUAAUAUUUUAGUCUGUUCGACUAUUAAAAUUUUACA
RNAcentral lists this ribosomal RNA (495 nucleotides) under Orchesia imitans. Its description in RNAcentral is "partial 16S ribosomal RNA". The stretch from base 369 to 495 matches the Rfam family "Bacterial large subunit ribosomal RNA", at positions 2473 to 2600 of the family's 2925-position model. The record is from RNAcentral. Lineage: Eukaryota; Metazoa; Arthropoda; Insecta; Coleoptera; Melandryidae.